This 168-nucleotide ribosomal RNA is filed under the name Phitosia crocifolia. The record is from RNAcentral. Lineage: Eukaryota; Viridiplantae; Streptophyta; Magnoliopsida; Asterales; Asteraceae.
AUCAUAAACGACUCUCGGCAACGGAUAUCUCGGCUCACGCAUCGAUGAAGAACGUARCAAAAUGCGAUACUUGGUGUGAAUUGCARAAUCCCGUGAACCAUCGAGUUUUUGAACGCAAGUUGCGCCCGAAGCCAUCCGGCCAAGGGCACGCCUGCCUGGGCGUCACGC